Molecule: ribosomal RNA, 482 nt
Filed under: uncultured bacterium
Lineage: Bacteria
Description: partial 16S ribosomal RNA
Rfam family: Bacterial small subunit ribosomal RNA
Source: RNAcentral
AUUGAACGCUGGCGGCAUGCUUUACACAUGCAAGUCGAACGGUAACAGGCCGCAAGGUGCUGACGAGUGGCGAACGGGUGAGUAAUGCAUCGGAACGUGCCCAGUCGUGGGGGAUAACUACUCGAAAGAGUAGCUAAUACCUCAUACGAUCUAUGGAUGAAAGCGGGGGACCGUAAGGCCUCGCGCGAUUGGAGCGGCCGAUGUCAGAUUAGGUAGUUGGUGGGGUAAAGGCUCACCAAGCCAACGAUCUGUAGCUGGUCUGAGAGGACGACCAGCCACACUGGGACUGAGACACGGCCCAGACUCCUACGGGAGGCAGCAGUGGGGAAUUUUGGGCAAUGGGCGCAAGCCUGAUCCAGCAAUGCCGCGUGCAGGAAGAAGGCCUUCGGGUUGUAAACUGCUUUUGUACGGAGCGAAACGGCUCUGGUUAAUACCCGGGGCUAAUGACGGUACCGUAAGAAUAAGCACCGGCUAACUACGUG